This 73-nucleotide transfer RNA is filed under the name Candidatus Nomurabacteria bacterium. Its description in RNAcentral is "tRNA-His". It matches the Rfam family "tRNA". Rfam says of the family: Transfer RNA (tRNA) molecules are approximately 80 nucleotides in length. Their secondary structure includes four short double-helical elements and three loops (D, anti-codon, and T loops). The record is from RNAcentral. Lineage: Bacteria; Candidatus Nomuraibacteriota.
UGCCCUGUAGCUCAGUCGGAAGAGCGCUGGGCUAUGGACCCAGAUGUCGGAGGUUCAAUUCCUUCCAGGGCGC